This 493-nucleotide ribosomal RNA is filed under the name uncultured bacterium. RNAcentral describes it as "partial 16S ribosomal RNA". It matches the Rfam family "Bacterial small subunit ribosomal RNA", at positions 30 to 523 of the family's 1533-position model. The record is from RNAcentral.
AUUGAACGCUGGCGGCAUGCUUUACACAUGCAAGUCGAACGGUAACAGGUUAAGCUGACGAGUGGCGAACGGGUGAGUAAUGCAUCGGAACGUGCCCGGGCGUGGGGGAUAACGCAGCGAAAGUUUCGCUAAUACCGCAUACGGUCUGAGGAUGAAAGCGGGGGCCCGUAAGGCCUCGCGCGAUCGGAGCGGUGCAUGUCGGAUUAGGUAGUUGGUGGGGUAAAGGCUCACCAAGCCAACGAUAUGUAGCUGGUCUGAGAGGACGACCAGCCACACUGGGACUGAGACACGGCCCAGACUCCUACGGGAGGCAGCAGUGGGGAAUUUUGGACAAUGGGCGAAAGCCUGAUCCAGCAAUGCCGCGUGCAGGAAGAAGGCCUUCGGGUUGUAAACUGCUUUUGUACGGAGCGAAAAGGUCUCCUCUAAUACAGGGGGCUCAUGACGGUACCGUAAGAAUAAGCACCGGCUAACUACGUGCCAGCCGCCGCGGUAA